This 90-nucleotide transfer RNA is filed under the name Chloroflexota bacterium. RNAcentral's name for it is "tRNA-Ser". It matches the Rfam family "tRNA". From Rfam's summary of the family: Transfer RNA (tRNA) molecules are approximately 80 nucleotides in length. Their secondary structure includes four short double-helical elements and three loops (D, anti-codon, and T loops). Lineage: Bacteria; Bacillati; Chloroflexota. The record is from RNAcentral.
GGAGGGGUCGCAUAGUCCGGCCUAGUGCGCGCGCUUGGAGAGCGCGUAUUCCUCACGGAAUCGUGGGUUCGAAUCCCACCCCCUCCGCCU